Molecule: ribosomal RNA, 1283 nt
Filed under: Ochthebius lividipennis
Lineage: Eukaryota; Metazoa; Arthropoda; Insecta; Coleoptera; Hydraenidae
Description: 16S ribosomal RNA
Rfam family: Archaeal large subunit ribosomal RNA (bases 1043-1201)
Source: RNAcentral
AUUGUAAAAUUUAUUAUUAUUAUUUUUUAAUAAAGUAUUAUUUUGUUUUAUUAAUAAUAUAGAAAAAAUUUAUUUAAUUAUAGUUUAUAGUAUAGUGAUAGAAAAUUGAAAUAAUUGAAAAUUUAAAUAUUAAAAAGAAUAAUUUAUUUUUAGUACCUUGUGUAUCAGGGUUUAUCAAUAAAAAAUUAAUAAUUUAAUUUUCUCGAUUUUAAAAGAGUUAAAAAUAUAUUAAUUUUAAUGUUAAAUAAUUAUAGUAAAUAUAUUUUUAGUAAUGAAACGUUAUUCGUUUUUAAAUAUAUCUAGUUUUUUAAGAAAUAAAUUUAAUUUAUUUAUCAAUAAAAAUUAAUUUUAUUAAAAAAUUUUAAUUUUGAUUGAUAUUAAAUAUUUUAAGGGAUGAGCUUUAAAAUAAAUUUAUAUAAAUUAUUUAAAUUAAAAAUAAAUUUAGGAUUAAAAAUUUCUAUUAUUAAUAAUUUGUUAUAAUUAAUUUUUUGAUUUAUUUAUUUAUAUUAAAAUUUUAUAUUUUUUAUUAAAAUGAUUUAUUUAAUUAAAGUUUAAAUUUAAUAAUGAUAAAAUUAGUAUAUUUUAUUUUAAAAAUAUUUUAUUUUUAAAAGGUUAAUUUAAGGAAUUCGGCAAAAUAAUUCUUCGCCUGUUUAUUAAAAACAUGUCUUUUUGAUAAUAAUUUAAAGUCUAACCUGCCCAAUGAGAAUUUUAAAUGGCCGCAGUAUUUUGACUGUGCAAAGGUAGCAUAAUCAUUAGUUUUUUAAUUGAAAGCUGGUAUGAAUGGUUGAACGAGAGAAUUACUGUCUCAAAUUAAUUUAAUUAGAACUUUAUUUUUAAGUUAAAAAGCUUAAAUAGUUUUAAAAGACGAGAAGACCCUAUAGAGUUUAAUAUUUUAUUAAAUUAUUAUUAUUUAAUUUUUAAAAUUUUAUAAAAUAUUUUAUUGGGGUGAUAAAUAAAUUUAAUUAACUUUAUUUAAUUUAAAACCAUAGAUAUAUGAAUUAAUGAUCCAUUAUUAGUGAUUAAAAGAUUAAAUUACCUUAGGGAUAACAGCGUUAUCUUUUUAGAGAGUUCAAAUCGAAAAAAAGGAUUGCGACCUCGAUGUUGGAUUAAAAUUUAUUUUUGGUGUAGAAGCUAAAAUAUUAAGUCUGUUCGACUUUUAAAAUUUUACAUGAUCUGAGUUUAAACCGGCGUGAGCCAGGUUGGUUUCUAUCUUUAAAAAGUUAAAAUAUUUUAGUACGAAAGGACCAAAUAUUUAUAAUAUUUAUUAAUUUUUGAAUAUUAAU